UACGUAGGGGGCAAGCGUUGUCCGGAAUCAUUGGGCGUAAAGAGCGUGUAGGCGGCUCGAUAAGUCUGCUGUGAAAGUCCAGGGCUCAACCCUGGAAGGCCGGUGGAAACUGUCGGGCUAGAGUCCGGAAGAGGCGAGUGGAAUUCCCAGUGUAGCGGUGAAAUGCGUAGAUAUUGGGAGGAACACCAGUGGCGAAGGCGGCUCACUGGACCGGUACUGACGCUGAGGCGCGAAAGCGUGGGGAGCAAACGGG
Molecule: ribosomal RNA, 253 nt
Filed under: uncultured bacterium
Lineage: Bacteria
Description: partial 16S ribosomal RNA
Rfam family: Bacterial small subunit ribosomal RNA
Source: RNAcentral